Molecule: transfer RNA, 69 nt
Filed under: Camelus bactrianus (Bactrian camel)
Lineage: Eukaryota; Metazoa; Chordata; Mammalia; Artiodactyla; Camelidae
Also listed under: 2 other names
Rfam family: tRNA
About the family: Transfer RNA (tRNA) molecules are approximately 80 nucleotides in length.
Source: Rfam by way of RNAcentral
GGGUAUAUAGCUCAAUGGUAGGGUAUGUGCUUAGCAUGCACAAGGUCCUGGGUUCAAUCCCUAGUACCA